Molecule: ribosomal RNA, 493 nt
Filed under: uncultured bacterium
Lineage: Bacteria
Description: partial 16S ribosomal RNA
Rfam family: Bacterial small subunit ribosomal RNA
Source: RNAcentral
AUUGAACGCUGGCGGCAUGCUUUACACAUGCAAGUCGAACGGCAGCGGGAGGAGCUUGCUUCUCUGCCGGCGAGUGGCGAACGGGUGAGUAAUACAACGGAACGUGUCGAGAAGAGGGGGAUAACCACCCGAAAGGGUGGCUAAUAACGCAUAAAUUCUGCGGAAGAAAGCUGGGGACCAAGGAAUAGGCCUAGCGCUUUUUGAGCGGCCGAUGUCGGCUUGGCUAGGUGGUGGGGUAAUGGCUCCCCAAGGCGAGAAUCUGUAUCGGGUCUUGGAGGAUGGUACGCCACACUGGGACUGAGACACGGCCCAGACUCCUACGGGAGGCAGCAGUGGGGAAUUUUGGACAAUGGGGGCAACCCUGAUCCAGCCGUGCCGCGUGUAUGAAGGAGGCCUUAGGGUUGUAAAGUACUUUUGUUAGGGAAGAAAAGUCAGCUGUGAAUAAUGGCUGAUACUGACGGUACCUAGAGAAUAAGCACCGGCUAACUACGUG